GGGUUGUGAGGUUAAGCGAAUAAGCGUACACGGUGGAUGCCUAGGCAAUCAGAGGCGAUGAAGGACGUGCUAAUCUGCGAAAAGCGUCGGUAAGGUGAUAUGAACCGCUAUACCCGACGAUAUCCGAAUGGGGAAACCCAGUAUCCAAUGGAUACUAUCAUUAACUGAAUCCAUAGGUUAAUGAGGCGAACCGGGAGAACUGAAACAUCUCAGUACCCCGAGGAAAAGAAAUCAACCGAGAUUCCCCUAGUAGCGGCGAGCGAACGGGGAGCAGCCCAGAGUCUUAAUCAAUAGCAGUGUCAGGAGAACGGUCUGGAAAGUCCGGCAGUAAAGGGUGAUAGCCCCGUAUCUGAAGAUGCUGUUAUUGUGAACUCGACGAGUAGGGCGGGACACGUGUUAUCCUGUCUGAAUAUGGGGGGACCAUCCUCCAAGGCUAAAUACUCCUGAUUGACCGAUAGUGAACCAGUACCGUGAGGGAAAGGCGAAAAGAACCCCGGCGAGGGGAGUGAAAAAGAACCUGAAACCGUGUACGUACAAGCAGUAGGAGCCUCUUUAUGGGGUGACUGCGUACCUUUUGUAUAAUGGGUCAGCGACUUAUAUUCUGUAGCAAGGUUAACCGUAUAGGGGAGCCGUAGGGAAACCGAGUCUUAACUGGGCGAAUGAGUUGCAGGGUAUAGACCCGAAACCCGGUGAUCUAUCCAUGGGCAGGUUGAAGGUUGGGUAACACUAACUGGAGGACCGAACCGACUAAUGUUGAAAAAUUAGCGGAUGACUUGUGGAUGGGGGUGAAAGGCCAAUCAAACCGGGAGAUAGCUGGUUCUCCCCGAAAGCUAUUUAGGUAGCGCCUCGUGAACUCAUCUUCGGGGGUAGAGCACUGUUUCGACUAGGGGGUCAUCCCGACUUACCAACUCGAUGCAAACUGCGAAUACCGAAGAAUGUUAUCACGGGAGACACACGGCGGGUGCUAACGUCCGUCGUGAAGAGGGAAACAACCCAGACCGCCAGCUAAGGUCCCAAAGUCAUGGUUAAGUGGGAAACGAAGUGGGAAGGCUCAGACAGCCAGGAUGUUGGCUUAGAAGCAGCCAUCAUUUAAAGAAAGCGUAAUAGCUCACUGGUCGAGUCGGCCCGCGCGGAAGAUGUAACGGGGCUAAACCAUGCACCGAAGCUGCGGCAGCGACACAAAGUGUUGUUGGGUAGGGGAGCGUUCUGUAAGCCUGCGAAGGUGUACUGUGAGGUAUGCUGGAGGUAUCAGAAGUGCGAAUGCUGACAUAAGUAACGAUAAUGCGGGUGAAAAACCCGCACGCCGGAAGACCAAGGGUUCCUGUCCAACGUUAAUCGGGGCAGGGUGAGUCGACCCCUAAGGCGAGGCUGAAAAGCGUAGUCGAUGGGAAACGGGUUAAUAUUCCCGUACUGGUGGUAACUGCGAUGGGGGAACGGAGAAGGCUAGGUUGUCCGGGCGACGGUCGUCCCGGUUCAAGCAGGUAGGCAGAGUGAUUAGGCAAAUCCGGUCACUUAAUGCUGAGAUGUGAUGACGAACCACCAAGGUGGUGAAGCAAUUGAUGCCCCGCUUCCAGGAAAAGCCUCUAAGCUUCAGGUUACCAACAAUCGUACCCCAAACCGACACAGGUGGUCAGGUAGAGAAUACUCAGGCGCUUGAGAGAACUCGGGUGAAGGAACUAGGCAAAAUGGUGCCGUAACUUCGGGAGAAGGCACGCUGGCGGUAGGUAAAGUCCCUUGCGGACGGCGCUGAAGCCAGUCGAAGAUACCAGCUGGCUGCAACUGUUUAUUAAAAACACAGCACUGUGCAAACACGAAAGUGGACGUAUACGGUGUGACGCCUGCCCGGUGCUGGAAGGUUAAUUGAUGGGGUUAGCGUAAGCGAAGCUCCUGAUCGAAGCCCCAGUAAACGGCGGCCGUAACUAUAACGGUCCUAAGGUAGCGAAAUUCCUUGUCGGGUAAGUUCCGACCUGCACGAAUGGCGUAAUGAUGGCCAGGCUGUCUCCACCCGAGACUCAGUGAAAUUGAACUCGCUGUGAAGAUGCAGUGUACCCGCGGCAAGACGGAAAGACCCCGUGAACCUUUACUAUAGCUUGACACUGAACAUUGAGCCUUGAUGUGUAGGAUAGGUGGGAGGCUUUGAAGUGUGGACGCCAGUCUGCAUGGAGCCAACCUUGAAAUACCACCCUUUAACGUUUGAUGUUCUAACCUAGGCCCAUAAACUGGGUCGGGGACCGUGUCUGGUGGGUAGUUUGACUGGGGCGGUCUCCUCCUAAAGAGUAACGGAGGAGCACGAAGGUUGGCUAAGCAUGGUCGGACAUCAUGCGGUUAGUGCAAAGGCAUAAGCCAGCUUGACUGCGAGAGUGACGGCUCGAGCAGGUACGAAAGUAGGUCUUAGUGAUCCGGUGGUUCUGAAUGGAAGGGCCAUCGCUCAACGGAUAAAAGGUACUCCGGGGAUAACAGGCUGAUACCGCCCAAGAGUUCAUAUCGACGGCGGUGUUUGGCACCUCGAUGUCGGCUCAUCACAUCCUGGGGCUGAAGUAGGUCCCAAGGGUAUGGCUGUUCGCCAUUUAAAGUGGUACGCGAGCUGGGUUUAGAACGUCGUGAGACAGUUCGGUCCCUAUCUGCCGUGGGCGUUGGAAGAUUGAGAGGGGUUGCUCCUAGUACGAGAGGACCGGAGUGAACGCACCACUGGUGUUCGGGUUGUCAUGCCAAUGGCAUUGCCCGGUAGCUAAGUGCGGAAGAGAUAACCGCUGAAAGCAUCUAAGCGGGAAACUUGCCUCGAGAUGAGUCUUCCCUGUCGCUUUAAGCGACCUAAAGGAACGUUUAAGACUAAGACGUUGAUAGGCUGGGUGUGUAAGCGUAGCGAUACGUUGAGCUAACCAGUACUAAUGAACCGUGAGGCUUAACCUGACAACACCGAAAGUGUUUUG
This 2930-nucleotide ribosomal RNA is filed under the name Proteus mirabilis. RNAcentral describes it as "bacterial LSU rRNA". It matches the Rfam family "Bacterial large subunit ribosomal RNA". Lineage: Bacteria; Pseudomonadati; Pseudomonadota; Gammaproteobacteria; Enterobacterales; Morganellaceae. The record is from RNAcentral.